AUUUACUUAUGGCUUCUUUGUACUCGGUCGACCUUCGUUGAAAUUAAGACACAUUGCUGACCAAAGUUAAAAACUUAAAAAUAAUAAAAACUCUAUGCUUUAUAACCCCACACCAGCCAGUUUCCUAUCUGAUGUGCUGUGUUUCCUUCUGAGUCUCGAGUUCUGAUAGCGUUUGGCUUUCUUUUCCCUGGGAAAGUUGAGAAUUCUAGCUUAUAGGCACCAGAAUUUUUUCUCGUUCUUUGAAUUGCUUGUCACUUGCUGUUUUCUUUUCACUGGCAAAGGAAGAUGGAGGAAUAUACUCAGUUUUUUAAUCAGGUACCUGAGCAAGAAAAGUGUCUUGGUAGCCCUAAAGCAUCAGAGGACAAAAAACUGGAGCUGAGACUUGGUCCCCCAGGAGACUUCUUUAGUUUCAAGAAUAUUACCACCGCUAGUGGAAUCAAAAGACUACUUGAUCAAGAUAGAUUUGAAGCGAAGACAGGAGAUGGAAACUGGUUUUCUCAUUCUCAUGAAAAGCAAUGCAAAAAGCUUUCAGGCCAUGAAGGAUCAGGUGAAAUGGUAUUCUCUUCUCCAUGGUCAUCAUCAUCAAGUGGCUCUCUACAUUCUUCAACUUUCCAAAGGGAGAUUCAGAGGGAGAAAAUACAGCCAAAGCCUUCAUAUCUUCAGUGUUCUACAGUUGUAGAGUUGCAGUGCCCUGUUAAGAAGCCAAGUUCUGGCCCUGCUAGUGCUUCAUUUCCUGCCACCACAGCUGCAGGGACCAGUAACAAAAGAUUUGAGCCUGCUCCAGUGAUUGGGUGGCCUCCAAUUCGAUCAUUCAGGAAAAAUCUUGCUAGUAGCAGCAGCAGAAGCUCAAAGAUGGUGGUUGAUGAUUUACCAAAUAAAACUCCAUCAGAAGGGUGCACUACAAAGCCUGGAAAUUUCAGAAAUGAUUUAUUUGUAAAGAUCAACAUGGAAGGAAUCCCCAUUGGAAGAAAAAUAAACCUGAAUGCCUACGACAGCUAUGAGAAACUAUCCGUUGCCAUUGAUGAGUUAUUCAGGGGUUUGCUUGCAGUUUUAGCUCAAAGGGAACAUUCUGCUGCUAGGAAUGGAAACAAAGCAAAGGUAGAUGAAGCAAAAGCAAAUGCAGGUUCCUCAUCCGGAGCUGGAACUGGAACUGGGGAAUAUACUCUAGUCUAUGAUGACAGUGAAGGAGAUAGGAUACUUGUUGGGGAUGUCCCUUGGCACAUGUUUGUAUCUACGGCAAAGAGGCUACGCGUGCUGAAAAGCUCUCAACUUUCCACACAACGACUUUCAGUUGACAACAGAGAGCAACAAAUUAAGGACGCCACAUAGGUCCUUAUUCGAAAUCGAAGAUGAUGAAGCUCUAAGUGGAGAAUAAAGUCAUGGCAUGCUGCGUGGCUUUCGGCUUUAAUUUCCACCUCUCCUCAGCCCAACUUUAAUUUAAAGUUUUUUUUUUUUGAAUUUUCUUG
RNAcentral lists this unclassified non-coding RNA (1466 nucleotides) under Hevea brasiliensis (rubber tree). Lineage: Eukaryota; Viridiplantae; Streptophyta; Magnoliopsida; Malpighiales; Euphorbiaceae. The record is from RNAcentral.